RNAcentral lists this ribosomal RNA (395 nucleotides) under uncultured bacterium. Its description in RNAcentral is "bacterial SSU rRNA". It matches the Rfam family "Bacterial small subunit ribosomal RNA", at positions 30 to 427 of the family's 1533-position model. The record is from RNAcentral.
AUUGAACGCUGGCGGCAUGCCUUACACAUGCAAGUCGAACGGCAGCACGGGGCAACCUGGUGGCGAGUGGCGAACGGGUGAGUAAUGCAUCGGAACGUGCCAUUGAGUGGGGGAUAACGUAGCGAAAGUUGCGCUAAUACCGCAUAUUCUGUGAGCAGGAAAGCAGGGGACCGCAAGGCCUUGCGCUCUUUGAGCGGCCGAUGUCAGAUUAGCUAGUUGGUGAGGUAACGGCUUACCAAGGCGACGAUCUGUAGCGGGUCUGAGAGGAUGAUCCGCCACACUGGAACUGAGACACGGUCCAGACUCCUACGGGAGGCAGCAGUGGGGAAUUUUGGACAAUGGGCGCAAGCCUGAUCCAGCCAUGCCGCGUGAGUGAAGAAGGCCUUCGGGUUGUU